AGUGAACGCUGGCGGUAGGCCUAACACAUGCAAGUCGAACGGCAGCACAGUAAGAGCUUGCUCUUACGGGUGGCGAGUGGCGGACGGGUGAGGAAUACAUCGGAAUCUACUUUUUCGUGGGGGAUAACGUAGGGAAACUUACGCUAAUACCGCAUACGACCUACGGGUGAAAGCAGGGGAUCUUCGGACUUUGCGCGAUUGAAUGAGCCGAUGUCGGAUUAGCUAGUUGGCGGGGUAAAGGCCCACCAAGGCGACGAUCCGUAGCUGGUCUGAGAGGAUGAUCAGCCACACUGGAACUGAGACACGGUCCAGACUCCUACGGGAGGCAGCAGUGGGGAAUAUUGGACAAUGGGCGCAAGCCUGAUCCAGCCAUACCGCGUGGGUGAAGAAGGCCUUCGGGUUGUAAAGCCCUUUUGUUGGGAAAGAAAAGCAGCAGGUUAAUACCCCGCUGUUCUGACGGUACCCAAAGAAUAAGCACCGGCUAACUUCGUG
RNAcentral lists this ribosomal RNA (492 nucleotides) under uncultured bacterium. RNAcentral describes it as "partial 16S ribosomal RNA". It matches the Rfam family "Bacterial small subunit ribosomal RNA", at positions 29 to 507 of the family's 1533-position model. The record is from RNAcentral.